This 402-nucleotide ribosomal RNA is filed under the name uncultured bacterium. Its description in RNAcentral is "bacterial SSU rRNA". It matches the Rfam family "Bacterial small subunit ribosomal RNA", at positions 28 to 417 of the family's 1533-position model. The record is from RNAcentral.
GAUGAACGCUGGCGGCGUGCUUAACACAUGCAAGUCGCGGGGCAGCAUGUAUCUGGCUUGCCAGAUGCGAUGGCGACCGGCGCACGGGUGAGUAACGCGUAUCCAACCUGCCCAUAACCACGGCACAGCCCGUCGAAAGGCGGAUUAAUGCCGUAUGAGGUUCCAGUGUAGCAUUAUGGUGGAACGAAAGGAUUUGGCGGUUAUGGAUGGGGAUGCGUCCGAUUAGCUUGUUGGCGGGGUAACGGCCCACCAAGGCGACGAUCGGUAGGGGUUCUGAGAGGAAGGUCCCCCACACUGGAACUGAGACACGGGUCCAGACUCCUACGGGAGGCAGCAGUGAGGAAUAUUGGGUCAAUGGGGCGGAAGCCUGAACCAGCCAAGUAGCGUGCAGGAUGACGGCCC